GGGGUCGUAGCUCAGUUGGUUAGAGCGCCUGCUUUGCAAGCAGGAGGUCAGGAGUUCGAAUCUCCUCGACUCCACCA
Molecule: transfer RNA, 77 nt
Filed under: Candidatus Saccharimonadota bacterium
Lineage: Bacteria; Candidatus Saccharimonadota
Description: tRNA-Ala
Rfam family: tRNA
About the family: Transfer RNA (tRNA) molecules are approximately 80 nucleotides in length. Their secondary structure includes four short double-helical elements and three loops (D, anti-codon, and T loops).
Source: RNAcentral